GAUAGGGACAGUUGGGGGCAUCAGUAUUCUGAAGCGAGAGGUGAAAUUCUUGGACCUUCGGAAGACUAACAGCUGCGAAAGCGUUUGCCUAGGAUGUUCUCUUUAAUCAAGAACGAAGGUUGGGGGAUCGAAGACGAUCAGAUACCGUCGUAGUCUCAACUGUAAACUAUGCCAGCUAGGGAUGGGUGGAUGUUUAAUUACGACUCCAUCCGCACCUUAUGAGAAAUCAAAGCAUUUGGGUUCCGGGGGGAGUAUGGUCGCAAGGCUGAAACUUAAAGGAAUUGACGGGAGGGCACCACCAGGAGUGGAGCCUGUGGCUUAAUUUGACUCAACACGGGAAAAUUUACCAGGACCAGACAUACCGAGGAUUGACAGAUUGAUACCUCUUUCUUGAUUCUAUGGGUGGUGGUGC
This 412-nucleotide ribosomal RNA is filed under the name uncultured marine eukaryote. RNAcentral describes it as "SSU rRNA". It matches the Rfam family "Eukaryotic small subunit ribosomal RNA", at positions 871 to 1283 of the family's 1831-position model. The record is from RNAcentral.